AUUGCAAGAUGUUGACGAAAGCAAGGUGAUAGAUGCCGAUGAAAAUCUUUGUUAUUUAUUUGCACUGUCUGGAGCAUCUCUGGGUUUAGAAGGAGAGUUGCUGAGAACUGAAUAAAAUGCUUGUUUCCCGUUAGAAAGUUGUUGAGGACACACUUGAUCAUCAGUGCCACAGCGAGCUUUAGAUCUGGCCAGUCGUGAUUUUGGAGACAAAUCUAAAUGACAACAAUAUCUUUGUUGAGGCCUGGAGACUCAAGUACUGAGACAAACCGGGGUGGGUUCAAUGUCUCCCUCUCUAUCAAAAAAGUCAAAUGAAUUAGAAAUUAGGAAGUAACUGAUGCUAUCAGCAGCUCAGAAGGACCUCCUGCACGGUACGGAACAAAAAAGUGGGCAGAUAUUAAAUAGGGGCUUCUAGUAUAUAGUAAACAAAGAGUUGCCUUUUAAUAAUCUGAGUUAUAUAAAAAAGGAAAUUUCCCUCUAAGUUUGAAUGUUCGUCAAAACAUUAAAAAGGUUUUUAUAAAACCUGAUUUUUAAAACCAUGAUUUUAUUUGCUAUCAAACAAUGUUAAGGCUGCCAAAUAUUUGAUGGACUUAAAAGUAUCUCAAUUAUGUUAUUUUAUGUACUCAGGGUAUCUAUUCAGUCAAGUAUAAUUGUAAAUAGAUCAAUAGUAAAAUCGUUAUUUGUAAAUUACACCCAUAAACUAUUUCUUAUACAGGAGAAUAAAUAUAGACAUAUAUGCGCCUAUGCAUGUAUACAUCCACUUCCACAUAUAUAAACACACAAACUUGCAAUUGAAAAAUAAACAUUUCACAGUUACUCUACUUAUUUUGAAAAUUCCCCUUUUUAAAAUUAAUUUUUGUUGGAGUAGAGCUGCUUUACCAUGUUGUGUUAGUUUCUGCUGUACGGCAAAGUGGAUCAGCUAUACGUAUACAUAUAACCCCUCUUUCUCAGGUUUCCUUCCCAUUUAGGUCACCACAGAGCACUGAGUAGAGUUCCCUGUGCUAUAACAGCAGGUUUCAUUAGUUGUCUAUUUUAUACAUACUAUCAAUAGUGCAUAUGUGUCGAUCCCAGUGGAAAAUUCCCCUUCAGUAACAAGGCAUUGAAUGGAAGUUCAUGGAUCGGGAGGAGGUGACAUUCUCUCCUUUACAUCCAGCCUUACGAUCAGGGAGUGACUUAGAGGCUGGGGAGAAGCUGGCUUAUUAUCUCUGUAUCAGUGAGGGGCAGAGAAGCAACAGACCUCUGGCAAAUACACCUUCUUCUCAAGAAGAAGAUGAACCGAUGGAAAAAAUAACCCACGUUUUAAGUUAGAUGCGUGUACGUUGCUUCUCCUCGUUUCUACAAAGGAGUCAGGAUUUGUGGAUGUGUUUCCCACCUGUUUCAGGGAUGUCCCGCCUUCCCCUUAUCUACAGCCCCUUAUCUACAGCCAGAUAGCCAGAGAGCCAGGAGGGUGGCUGCAGUCAGUUACAGGGUUACAGGGUCGUGAUCAUUCCACAGACCCACUCCCUCGCUGCUUUCCUUGCCAUUCCCACCGCUGCUACCUUUGACUUGAGUCAGUAAAGCAUCUUACAGCCUCCCUCCUUCUGGGCUCACACCGUUUCAGCGCACUGUUCCGCCGCAGCCAGGAUGACUUCGUUACCGUCCUGCUUACAAUCCUUCUAGGCUCCUUUGCAUCCACCAUAAACUCCACGGUCCUCAUCAGGCCCCCAGGCUCCCCGUGAAGGGGCUCCAGCCUACUGCCACCUGGUCUCUGGGGUCCCCACCCUCACUGGGUGCCCGGUGCCCCAAACUAGCCUGUGCUUUCAGUUCCUUAAUUCACGCCCCCAGCAGCUCCUCUGGGGAGCCCUCCCCUUCCCAGCUCCUGGGUACACGCUCACCUCACGGCUCAGCACCGUAUCUUCUCUACAAAGCCCCUCUGGCUUCCUCCUGCCUCCUUCUUGGUUCUCACAGUAGGAGCCACUGACAACACAGUCUGUUGCACUGACUUCUGUCUGCUUCUGUUGGACUGCGAGAUCCUUGAGGAUGCUCACUUGCUCUGUGUUCCAAGUGGCUGGCAUGCUGUCUGGCACAAUUUCAAUAAAAUUAUAUUUAAUGCAAGAAUGAAUGGAUAGGGCUUCCCUGGUGGCGCAGUGGUUGAGAGUCCGCCUGCCGAUGCAGGGGACGCGGGUUCGUGCCCCGGUCCGGGAGGAUCCCACAUGCCGCGGAGCGGCUGGGCCCGUGAGCCGUGGCCGCUGAGCCUGCGCGUCUGGAGCCUGUUGCUCCGCAACGGGAGAGGCCACAACAGUGAGAGGCCCGCGUACCG
Phocoena sinus (vaquita) is the source of this 2296-nucleotide long non-coding RNA. NCBI's taxonomy places the organism in Eukaryota, Metazoa, Chordata, Mammalia, Artiodactyla, Phocoenidae. The record is from Ensembl.